UGUAAACAUCCUUGACUGGAAGCUGUAAGGUGCUAGAAGGAGCUUUCAGUCGGAUGUUUACAGC
Molecule: microRNA precursor, 64 nt
Filed under: Alligator mississippiensis (American alligator)
Lineage: Eukaryota; Metazoa; Chordata; Crocodylia; Alligatoridae
Description: Ami-Mir-30-P1d_pre stem-loop
Rfam family: mir-30 microRNA precursor family
About the family: This family consists of the mammalian microRNA (miRNA) precursor mir-30a.
Source: RNAcentral